GGGAGAAGUGAUGAUUUUCUAUCCAUAGACUGUUUCUGCAUUUUGUAUGAUGAAUCAUUUAAAACAUGCACUACCAUCUGAUCUCCC
Molecule: small nucleolar RNA, 87 nt
Filed under: Ananas comosus (pineapple)
Lineage: Eukaryota; Viridiplantae; Streptophyta; Magnoliopsida; Poales; Bromeliaceae
Source: RNAcentral